RNAcentral lists this ribosomal RNA (373 nucleotides) under uncultured organism. RNAcentral describes it as "partial 16S ribosomal RNA". It matches the Rfam family "Bacterial small subunit ribosomal RNA", at positions 527 to 896 of the family's 1533-position model. The record is from RNAcentral.
GUAGGUGGCAAGCGUUGUCCGGAAUUAUUGGGCGUAAAGCGCGCGCAGGCGGUCUUUUAAGUCUGAUGUGAAAGCCCACGGCUCAACCGUGGAGGGUCAUUGGAAACUGGGGGACUUGAGUACAGAAGAGGAAAGCGGAAUUCCAAGUGUAGCGGUGAAAUGCGUAGAGAUUUGGAGGAACACCAGUGGCGAAGGCGGCUUUCUGGUCUGUAACUGACGCUGAGGCGCGAAAGCGUGGGGAGCAAACAGGAUUAGAUACCCUGGUAGUCCACGCCGUAAACGAUGAGUGCUAAGUGUUAGGGGGUUUCCCGCCCCCUUAGUGCUGCAGCUAACGCAUUAAGCACUCCGCCUGGGGAGUACGGCCGCAAGGCUG